GACGAACGCUGGCGGCGUGCUUAACACAUGCAAGUCGAACGGAAAGGCCCUGCUUUUGUGGGGUGCUCGAGUGGCGAACGGGUGAGUAACACGUGAGUAACCUGCCCUUGACUUUGGGAUAACUUCAGGAAACUGGGGCUAAUACCGGAUAGGAGCUCCUGCUGAGUGGUGGGGGUUGGAAAGUUUCGGCGGUUGGGGAUGGACUCGCGGCUUAUCAGCUUGUUGGUGGGGUAGUGGCUUACCAAGGCUUUGACGGGUAGCCGGCCUGAGAGGGUGACCGGCCACAUUGGGACUGAGAUACGGCCCAGACUCCUACGGGAGGCAGCAGUGGGGAAUAUUGCACAAUGGGCGGAAGCCUGAUGCAGCAACGCCGCGUGCGGGAUGACGGCCUUCGGGUUGUAAACCGCUUUCGCCUGUGACGAAGCGUGAGUGACGGUAAUGGGUAAAGAAGCACCGGCUAACUACGUG
RNAcentral lists this ribosomal RNA (468 nucleotides) under uncultured bacterium. Its description in RNAcentral is "partial 16S ribosomal RNA". It matches the Rfam family "Bacterial small subunit ribosomal RNA", at positions 28 to 507 of the family's 1533-position model. The record is from RNAcentral.